AGCAGUAGCCACGGGAAUACGGAGGGUGCAAGCGUUAAUCGGAAUUACUGGGCGUAAAGCGCACGCAGGCGGUCUGACAAGUCAGAUGUGAAAUCCCCGGGCUUAACCUGGGAACUGCAUUUGAAACUGUCAGGCUGGAGUCUUGUAGAGGGGGGUAGAAUUCCAGGUGUAGCGGUGAAAUGCGUAGAGAUCUGGAGGAAUACCGGUGGCGAAGGCGGCCCCCUGGACAAAGACUGACGCUCAGGUGCGAAAGCGUGGGGAGCAAACAGGAUUAGAGACCCGCGUAGUCCCUGUCUCUUAUAC
This 303-nucleotide ribosomal RNA is filed under the name uncultured bacterium. Its description in RNAcentral is "partial 16S ribosomal RNA". It matches the Rfam family "Bacterial small subunit ribosomal RNA", at positions 507 to 807 of the family's 1533-position model. The record is from RNAcentral.